GAUGACUGCAACCCUGAACAGCUUUCUGUAGAUAUCCAGCCAGAAUCACAUAAAAAAGCAACUCCUAGAUUGCUAAUCCUGAGAAAAGCUUCAGACUGACUAUAUAUUUCUAGCUACCAAAAUGCUACCUCACAGAAAUGAUUUGAAGAUUCAAUAAAACAAUCCAUAAUAGGGAAGGGAAAGUGAAUAAUCUCAACCCCAUGGACUGAGAUUAUAGGUGUGAAGAAUGAUUUAUGGAGUAAGAAGAGGAGGGCAUGGAGAACAGAGCCGGAGGAAUACCAACAUCUAGGAGACAGAAGAAGCACAAGAGCCAGGGAGAGAACAGAGAAAGAGGGACAAGAGGCUGGGAGAAACAUGAAGGCCAGCUGAUGUCCAUAUUUCAAGGAGGACCAAAAGGGUCAAUGAUGAGGACCAAAAAUGUCAAUGAGGAGGACCAAAAAGGUCAAUGAGAAGGACCAAAAAGACGGAGGUUGUCACUGGAGAUCAUAAAAAGCACGACUUCUAGAGGACGCUGUGGGCGGAAAGUACACUCUGGUGAGUUGAGAAGUGAAUUGGAGGAGGCAUGGCUGAGUGGUGCCUGAAGAAUGUUCAUUAAUCAUUUACCAGGCAACCCAAAGCCAAGUAAAAUUUUGAAGUGAUUUCCCAGUACUUUUCUAUGAUACUAUUAUUGUUACUUGCCCACCCAAGUGAGAGUACCUCCAGGCCAAAAAUCAACUUAGCUUCAGGACAUACCCAGGGACAGAGCAGCUAACAUCAUCAGCGCCUCCCAAAUUAGACAUAUUAAGAGAGAAUGUGUUCCAUUAUUUCACAACAAAAUCCUGGUUACGGGAGGAAGUAAAACUUAACUACCAUCUUUAAAGUUGCAGAAGCCAGUGAACAAAAAACCGACCCAAUCAGUGAUAAGGAUAUACGUCACAUCCAUAUCUUCAGAUUUCUUCUGAAUUAAGUUUCCCAAACACUAGACUCAUCAGCCAAAAAACAACACGGGUGCACUGUGGUAGAACGUGG
Long non-coding RNA from Lontra canadensis (Northern American river otter), 1008 nucleotides. RefSeq lists it as uncharacterized. NCBI's taxonomy places the organism in Eukaryota, Metazoa, Chordata, Mammalia, Carnivora, Mustelidae. The transcript is spliced from 3 exons. The record is from RefSeq and is a predicted model, not a curated record.